Molecule: long non-coding RNA, 211 nt
Filed under: Cricetulus griseus (Chinese hamster)
Lineage: Eukaryota; Metazoa; Chordata; Mammalia; Rodentia; Cricetidae
Description: lncRNA (ENSCGRG00000025368.1)
Source: RNAcentral
GUGCCUGGCACGUAGAGCCCUCUUGUGAAUGCGACAGAGCCAGAUCCUACAGGAAUCUCCACGGAGCCUGUCAACAGGAGAUGUAUUCAAAGUUUCAGUGGUGCCUAAUAAAGACCUCCACAAUGAAGGACAGGGCCCAAAGCAUCACUUUCUGAGACCCAGGUGAGCUUGCCUUUCUCAUCCAUGCCGCAGGUCCUCCGAGAAGGUUGUG